GGUGGAGCAGCCCGGUAGCUCGUUGGGCUCAUAACCCAAAGGUCGCAAGUUCAAAUCUUGCCCCCGCCA
This 69-nucleotide transfer RNA is filed under the name Acidimicrobium sp. Its description in RNAcentral is "tRNA-Met". It matches the Rfam family "tRNA". From Rfam's summary of the family: Transfer RNA (tRNA) molecules are approximately 80 nucleotides in length. Their secondary structure includes four short double-helical elements and three loops (D, anti-codon, and T loops). Lineage: Bacteria; Bacillati; Actinomycetota; Acidimicrobiia; Acidimicrobiales; Acidimicrobiaceae. The record is from RNAcentral.